RNAcentral lists this ribosomal RNA (492 nucleotides) under uncultured bacterium. Its description in RNAcentral is "partial 16S ribosomal RNA". It matches the Rfam family "Bacterial small subunit ribosomal RNA", at positions 29 to 507 of the family's 1533-position model. The record is from RNAcentral.
AGUGAACGCUGGCGGUAGGCCUAACACAUGCAAGUCGAACGGCAGCACAGUAAGAGCUUGCUCUUACGGGUGGCGAGUGGCGGACGGGUGAGGAAUACAUCGGAAUCUACUUUUUCGUGGGGGAUAACGUAGGGAAACUUACGCUAAUACCGCAUACGACCUACGGGUGAAAGCAGGGGAUCUUCGGACCUUGCGCGAUUGAAUGAGCCGAUGUCGGAUUAGCUAGUUGGCGGGGUAAAGGCCCACCAAGGCGACGAUCCGUAGCUGGUCUGAGAGGAUGAUCAGCCACACUGGAACUGAGACACGGUCCAGACUCCUACGGGAGGCAGCAGUGGGGAAUAUUGGACAAUGGGCGCAAGCCUGAUCCAGUCAUACCGCGUGGGUGAAGAAGGCCUUCGGGUUGUAAAGCCCUUUUGUUGGGAAAGAAAAGCAGCAGGUUAAUACCCCGCUGUUCUGACGGUACCCAAAGAAUAAGCACCGGAUAACUUCGUG